GCUGGGCGUGGAGGUGCACACCUGUAAUCCCAGGGGCUCGGAAGGCUGAGGCAAGAGGAUCAUGAGUUCAAAGUCAGCCUCAGCAAAUGUGAGGUGCUAAGCAACUCAGUGAGACCCUGUCUCUA
RNAcentral lists this small RNA (125 nucleotides) under Marmota monax (woodchuck). Lineage: Eukaryota; Metazoa; Chordata; Mammalia; Rodentia; Sciuridae. The record is from RNAcentral.